UGAGUUUCGGGGCAAGGAGGCCAAGCGGACAUCGAGAGUGAGAAAGACGACGGGGCCGACGGAGGGAGGCUGCAGAAAACCAAACGCCUGCUCCAAAAGGGAAAGGGAUCGCGCAGCACCGCAGGCCGGGGCUCUGAGAGGGAGACGAACGCCAUCACUAGCCGGGGCGGCGGCGGCGGCGGUUUUUCCAUCCGCUUCAUGGUGCCGCACAAACGCUGACAGCGCAAGUUCUGCAAAAGCAAACAAAAAGCAUGUUAGGAGCUUGAAACAGAAGGGAUUAGCCUCCAUAAUGCUAUGAUAGAAGCAAUGAGGUGAUACUACAAGUUAACAUAGAGAGAGCCGUCCCUUUCCAACUCGCGGCCACACCGCCGCAAGAGCACGCCAUCGGAAGCCUGACCGGUUACGAGGAUGGCGGCGGUAAGGCUAUCUUCUACCUGGCAUUUCUUUCUUCCCCUGAUUAAGCUAUCGUCUAUGGUGUCGCAGUCGUUGAUCCGUCUCUGCCAGAUCGGCUCGCGGCAGCAUCUGUGAUGUCGUCUCUUUCUUCUCUCACCACGGAUCCGAUUGCAAGAUGGCCGGAUCUAUGAGCUACUACUUCGAUCCGCAAGGUGCUAGCUGAUCCCAAUCAGAUCCCAUGUCGACAACGGUGUUUAGGCCCACCGAAGAGAUGUGGCGGGUCGCCCCGACGCCAUCACAAGGCCCACCAAACUGAUACGGUGGGUCGUUUCAGCGCCAUCACACAACCGCUGCCUCCUUGCUUGAUCCGGCCAUUGGUGUGGGGCGCUGGCGAGCGGGUGGCGGGUCGGUGCGGCGUCCUCAAAGACGUUCAGGAUCUUGGCAUGUCGGUUGGAACGGUGCGGCUCAAAUGUGCCGGUUUUGGCUGUGGCUGGUUUUGCUUGUCUCUACACAGCAUCGACGACGCCUCCUAAUUUGCUCGAGUGGCUAUCAGCGGUGAUCUGUUGCAUGGCCAUGCGUUGGCGCCUCGGUUUCGGUGGUGGUGCUCCAAUUCGUUGGAGCUUCUUUGGAAAGAAGAUGCUCAACUGCUCAUGGGAAGGACAGGCAGUUCUAGUUGGUCGCGUCGUUCGUCACCGUUCGUGAUUGCGCCAACAGCUGACCGAUCGAUGGACGAUCGGUGGACUUUAAAGACAUGUGAGAUGCUUUAGAUGUUAUGUUCAUCAUCUUCCUUUUGCGGGAGGACAAUGGAGUUAUUGGAGCUUGAUCCAAUCACUUUGUGGUGAAAGAUAACAGGUGUCGUUGCUGCACAUUAGUUCUUUGUUGUUGAAGUGUGGUUUUGUAUGGUGGUUUUUAGUUGUAGGUUGGAUUCAAGACUUUGUGCUGCUUUGUGCACAUAGAAUUUUAGUCUUUUUUCCUUUCUUGC
Molecule: long non-coding RNA, 1375 nt
Organism: Phragmites australis (common reed)
Lineage: Eukaryota; Viridiplantae; Streptophyta; Magnoliopsida; Poales; Poaceae
Exons: 3
Source: RefSeq, a predicted model, not a curated record